Molecule: ribosomal RNA, 372 nt
Filed under: uncultured organism
Description: bacterial SSU rRNA
Rfam family: Bacterial small subunit ribosomal RNA
Source: RNAcentral
CAGAGGUCUCAACCGUUGUUCGGAUUCAUUGGGCGUAAAGGGUGCGUAGGCGGCGGAGUAAGUCAGGUGUGAAAUCUCGGGGCUCAACCCCGAAACUGCACUUGAUACUGCUUCGCUCGAGUACUGGAGAGGAGACUGGAAUUUACGGUGUAGCAGUGAAAUGCGUAGAUAUCGUAAGGAAGACCAGUAGCGAAGGCGAGUCUCUGGACAGUUACUGACGCUGAGGCACGAAGGCCAGGGGAGCAAACGGGAUUAGAUACCCCGGUAGUCCUGGCAGUAAACGGUGCACGUUUGGUGUGGGAGGAUUCGACCCCUUCCGUGCCGGAGCUAACGCGUUAAACGUGCCGCCUGGGAAGUACGGUCGCAAGACUA